GAAAAUUUUAUCAUAAAUAAAGAAAUAUUUUUCUAACAUUAUCCCAAUGAAUUGGUCUAGAUCCAUAAAUAAAUACAAACAAAUAAUAACAAAUCCUUCAUUAACAUUUGAAUUCCAAACUAGUACAUUAAAACUUUUGGUUUAUAACUACGUUAUUGUUUUAUUAAUAGCUAAUCAAGAUGUUGCUUGGAAUUAUCCAUUUAGAGACUCUGAUUUAGCUAGUCGUUUAGGACAUGAACUGAUCGAGCCCAUGGUUUUAACCAAGUUUGGUUUUUGUUUUCGUCUUUUAACUAUUGUAAUGAACACUUUAGCGGUAGCUACAUUGUUACAGCCUAAACGAGAAAAACGCAACUUUCUUUUACCCUGUAUUUUGUGGAACUUUUAUACGAUUACGGCUGUGGCUGAGAAUAUUUUUGAAAUUAUUUGGUGUAUGUUUCAGUUGGAUGUGGCAUUUCUGCAAUUUGCUACCAUUUUUAUUGUGGGUAUAUUUAUGUUGGCAUUUCAGUCGAAAUUAACCAUACAAAUUAUACGAUUUUAUGAAUAUUUAAAUUAUAAAAAAUAGUAAUAAAUAAAUGUAAAUAAAUUGUAUUAAUACUUACUA
Long non-coding RNA from Calliphora vicina (urban bluebottle blowfly), 601 nucleotides. RefSeq lists it as uncharacterized. The record is from RefSeq and is a predicted model, not a curated record. The transcript is spliced from 3 exons. Lineage: Eukaryota; Metazoa; Arthropoda; Insecta; Diptera; Calliphoridae.